CAGCCGCCUGUUGAGGGCAGAUGAAGUGAAUAUGCGUAUCAAUACCUCCCGCCGUGAUGAUCUUGCCCUCUCCCGCCACCACAUCCGUACAACUUCCCACAAUCAUGCCCGGCGUAACACCGUCCAUUACAUCCGGGUUACCAGCUUUGCCAAUGCCCACAAUGACACCAGCCUUGACACCAAUAUCCGCCUUGUAGAUGCCCGUCCAAUCCACCACCAACGCGUUCGUCACCACCAUAUCCAGCGUCUCCUCAUCCGACCUACCCGUCGCCUGCCCCAUGCCCUCGCGCAG
Small RNA from Neurospora crassa OR74A, 292 nucleotides. It matches the Rfam family "5' ureB small RNA". NCBI's taxonomy places the organism in Eukaryota, Fungi, Ascomycota, Sordariomycetes, Sordariales, Sordariaceae. The record is from Rfam.